RNAcentral lists this ribosomal RNA (253 nucleotides) under uncultured bacterium. Its description in RNAcentral is "partial 16S ribosomal RNA". It matches the Rfam family "Bacterial small subunit ribosomal RNA", at positions 524 to 776 of the family's 1533-position model. The record is from RNAcentral.
UACGUAGGUGGCGAGCGUUGUCCGGAUUUACUGGGCGUAAAGGGAGCGUAGGCGGACUUUUAAGUGAGAUGUGAAAUACUCGGGCUCAACUUGAGCGCUGCAUUUCAAACUGGAAGUCUAGAGUGCAGGAGAGGAGAAUGGAAUUCCUAGUGUAGCGGUGAAAUGCGUAGAGAUUAGGAAGAACACCAGUGGCGAAGGCGAUUCUCUGGACUGUGACUGACGCUGAGGCUCGAAAGCGUGGGGAGCAAACAGG